This 1838-nucleotide long non-coding RNA is filed under the name Macaca mulatta (Rhesus monkey). RNAcentral describes it as "lncRNA (ENSMMUG00000054457.1)". The record is from RNAcentral. Lineage: Eukaryota; Metazoa; Chordata; Mammalia; Primates; Cercopithecidae.
CAGGCUGUACCUUCCCCUGGGCAUGCUGGGAGAUGCCCGUCAUUCCCUUGCUGGCUGGGUGCACCAGCCUACCCGAGGCUGUCUCUUAGACAGCUAAGGAAUCUUGCCCCUUCUCUGAGGUUUCUGCUCAAUGACACCUUUUCUGGGGACAGUGGCUCUGAAGAUGGGGGCUUCCGGAGGUUGAGAGAGGCUGAGCCUUCAUGGAUCUCCAGUAUCUCCUGCCUUCUAUGCCUCUUUAGCAAGAUGCUUCUCCAACUCCUGUUUUUCCUCCUCGGAACUCUGGAAGGAUGCCCUCUGCAUUUUGGAUGUGCUUCCCAAGUGAUGCUCCAUCGACUAUUACUUUGGGAUGGGGAAAAGCUUCUGGGUCCAAGAAGCCUAGGAAACACAAAGUCAGACAGGCUAUGAUCUUGCAGGACUUAUCAGUGCCUUGAAUUAUUUUUAAUUUUUUUAUUUUUAUUUAUUUUUUUAGAGACAGGGUCUUGCUCUAUCACCCAGGCUGGAAUGAAGUGGUGGGAUUAUAGCAAACUGCAGCCUGGAAUUCCUGGGCUCAAGCGAUCCUCCUGCCUCAGCCUUCAGAGUAGCUGGGACUACAGGUGCAUGCCGCCAUGCCUGGCUAUCUUGAAUUAUUAAUAGCAGCUUUGAAAUACAAAAAUUAGCUGGGCGUGGUGGUGGGUGCCUGUUAUCCCAGCUACCCGGGAGGUUAAGGGAAAAUUACUUGAACCCGGGAGGUGGAGGUUGCAGUGAGCUGAGAUCGUACCACUGCACUCCAGCCUGGGUGACUCUGUCUUUAAAUAAAUAAAUACAUACAUACAUACAUACAUAAAAUAGAAGGGACCCUGGUGCACAGUGUUUGCUGGACCUAUGUGACACCAAAGUCAUUUUUCCCCAUGGGCUCUGUUUCAGGACAUCUUCUGGGCCACACAGGUCGAGAGGAUACCUCGGGAACUACUGGACCUGAAAUGUCAAAUCACCCUGCAGAGGUGUCAACUGAUAUUUCUCCAGCUCGGGUCCUUCGGCAGCUCUACCCACCAUUUGCUCCUUCUCACGUGGGCGCAGAGAGUCAGGAAGUGGCAGACAGAUGCUUCUUCGAGGGGCUGUGCAGCAAAGGCCUCUGGACCUCUCUUCCCCUCAGAAGAGACUAUGACAGCAGCAGAGAACAUGAAAGCUGAAAAAUGGGUCGAAGGAACCAAGGAGAAAACCUAUCCAUUUUACAGAAGGGGAAACUGAGAUUCAGACCCAGUAGCAGACCAGGGUGGAGAAUCUGGGCCUUGGGGCUCUGAUCUAGGGCUGUCCUCUGCUGGGAAUCCCCUAUGCACCCCCAGCUCUCCCUCUGGGCCUCAGGAAACGCAGCAUCAGCCCUGGUCCUCCCUUCCCUGGGGAGCAGAGCCACUUGGUGACCAAAAGGGGUCUCUCCAUACCUCCCACGCCCCUGGCCUCUGCCCAGUCUGCCUCCUCCUCCCCAAUCCCCCCCAGGACAUAGCCUGAAGAAGUGUUUGUACCUAAACAGUAUUUCCAGGGCAACUUGCAUUCCCCAGGGGGUGGGUGGUGAGAGGCUUGGGGGAGGAACUCCUCCAGCUGCCACAGGCCCUGUGACCCGCAGCCCCUCUCGGUUAAUGGGACUUGGGGCCUAAGAGCUGGUCUUACCCUUGAUCUUGGAGAGGGCCUGAGGAUGGAUGCAUGAACCACACGGCUUCCUUCUAUAAUGCAUCCUUCAUGGAUGAAGUGUGUGAGUGGGCGGGGACAGAGCCCAAAAGUUUCCUGAGCCCAACAAGGAACAGCAGCCCCCAGGGUACCCCUUUUCUUCUCCUGCUCCUCAGCGAGGGUGUCAAAGCCGAGAC